CCGGAGCUUGCUCUGGUGGGAUUAGUGGCGAACGGGUGAGUAACACGUGAGCAAUCUGCCCCCGACUCUGGGAUAACCCCGAGAAAUCGGAGCUAAUACCGGAUACGACACCUCCUGGCAUCAGGUGGGUGUGGAAAGAAUUUCGGUUGGGGAUGAGCUCGCGGCCUAUCAGCUUGUUGGUGAGGUAAUGGCUCACCAAGGCGACGACGGGUAGCCGGCCUGAGAGGGUGACCGGCCACACUGGGACUGAGACACGGCCCAGACUCCUACGGGAGGCAGCAGUGGGGAAUAUUGCACAAUGGGCGCAAGCCUGAUGCAGCAACGCCGCGUGGGGGACGAAGGCCUUCGGGUUGUAAACCUCUUUUGGCAGGGAAGAAGCGAAAGUGACGGUACCUGCAGAAAAAGCACCGGCUAACUACGUGCCAGCAGCCGCGGUAAUACGUAGGGUGCAAGCGUUGUCCGGAAUUAUUGGGCGUAAAGAGCUCGUAGGCGGUGUGUCACGUCUGCUGUGAAAAUCCAAGGCUCAACCUUGGACUUGCAGUGGGUACGGGCACACUCGAGUGCGGUAGGGGAGAUUGGAAUUCCUGGUGUAGCGGUGGAAUGCGCAGAUAUCAGGAGGAACACCGAUGGCGAAGGCAGGUCUCUGGGCCGUAACUGACGCUGAGGAGCGAAAGCGUGGGGAGCGAACAGGAUUAGAUACCCUGGUAGUCCACGCCGUAAACGGUGGGAACUAGAUGUGGGGUCCGUUCCACGGAUUCCGUGUCGCAGCUAACGCAUUAAGUUCCCCGCCUGGGGAGUACGGCCGCAAGGCUAAAACUCAAAGGAAUUGACGGGGGCCCGCACAAGCGGCGGAGCAUGCGGAUUAAUUCGAUGCAACGCGAAGAACCUUACCAAGGCUUGACAUAUAGGAGGAAAAGUGCAGAGAUGCACUCCCCGCAAGGUCUCUAUACAGGUGGUGCAUGGUUGUCGUCAGCUCGUGUCGUGAGAUGUUUGGGUUAAGUCCCGCAACGAGCGCAACCCUCGUCCUAUGUUGCCAGCACGUA
RNAcentral lists this ribosomal RNA (1043 nucleotides) under uncultured bacterium. RNAcentral's name for it is "bacterial SSU rRNA". It matches the Rfam family "Bacterial small subunit ribosomal RNA", at positions 73 to 1127 of the family's 1533-position model. The record is from RNAcentral.